Metopolophium dirhodum (rose-grain aphid) is the source of this 2079-nucleotide long non-coding RNA. RefSeq lists it as uncharacterized. NCBI's taxonomy places the organism in Eukaryota, Metazoa, Arthropoda, Insecta, Hemiptera, Aphididae. The record is from RefSeq and is a predicted model, not a curated record. The transcript has 13 exons.
AAACGUACAACGUUUACAGGCGACUUGGAACUUAGCGUACAUCCAAUACCGGUCAUACAGUGGAGAAUAUAAUAGUAUAUAAUAUUAUAUCAUCGAUCAAGGCCGAUCGACAGGUGUGUAUAUGUAACGAGCGACAGUAAUAACGCCGAAGCUGCUGAACACCGGCUAUGGAGGCACAACGACGCACGUCGCGUAAAAGGCACUCGAUCGCUCAAGAACGACAAUUGAAUUUUUCUUGUCGAACAUAAUUUGCUGAUAGACUUCACCUACUAUGGAUAUCAUUCAAAAAGGUUUCAUAUAUUCCACCACUUCAAAACCUCAACAAGAUGCACAUGAAAACGAACGAAUUAAUUUUUUACUGCGCAUAAAGACGAAGAAUGGUUUUAGAAUAAAUACCAUCCUGAUGAUAGUGUAAUACAAAAGAGAAAGCGAACCCUAGCACUUAGAAACGGUUAGAUAUUUUUAAUGAAUUUUUGGCAAAUGGUAAAAUUGAUUCUGUCAGUGUGGAUACUAAUAAUCGAGAUCCUUUAGUUUUUCUUCUUGAUUGUGUCAUAAUAAAUCUUCAAGGAGGUAUAGUUUUUGAUUUAACAGUGUUUAAUCCUACUGAGACAUCAAAAACCCAACAGGAGCCAGAACAUGAGAAAAAAAUAAACUAAUAAAAAAAUUAAUGAUGGCGAAAAUUCUGAUAGUGAAGUGGGCAGUGAUGAAAAAGAUGGCCAUGAAACAAAUAAAAUAGACAAAUCUUUAGUCAAUAACACUGAAGAAGCAAUUGAUUUUCAAAAUCUAGAAAUGUUCAAUGUUUGGAAAGGUUGCGUAUGGACUGUGAAUGGAAUAACUAAUCACUUUCAAGUUGCUCGUAAUGAUUUGAAACUAUGUGCCUCUAUCAUCAACACCUUUGAUUACCACUCAGAUUUAUUGGAUUCAAUUGAAGGCGAGCAUCCAGCCUUUGAUAAAAUGUAUGGAGUACUUAGUAAUCUUAAAGAAGCACCGUCUGAAGAAGAAAUACUUUUAGGUGAAAGUGUUUCUUUUAAAUCCAAAGUUAUUACUGAAAUAUCUAUACAGCUGUUAAAGGCUUUAGAUAGAAUGAUACUUUAUAUACGUAUUUAACAUUCAAUUGACUUUUACGACUAUAUUGAGUAUGCGUAUGAAGAUCAUAUGCCAAGCGGAAGUAGUGUUAUUCAUGUCCGAGGUCCACAGACCCGUUACUUGCCUACACAACAAGAAAUCACUGAUUGCUGUAACUACUCUCAAAUAAAUGCUGAUUGACUGAUACAACUUAUGCAUUAACUGAAAGUUAAAUAACUCUGCUUGGAUGUGCGCAAAAAUAUUAUCAAGAAUUACAUUGAUAUACUGGAUAUUCUGAAAAAAGAACUGAAAUGUUUCAAUAAUUUUAUCCGGGAUCCGAAUAAACCAAAACAGAUACCUCAUUCAUACCUAUCUGCAAAUCGCUAUCAAAUGUCUGGUUAACAUUUCGUGUAAGUGGUACGGACCACUAGCUUGCAGAGGUUUUAACGUUUGUGGCGGUCGGCAGAUACCAUGGUUUUCUGUUAUUUUUGUGAUAACAAUUGUAUAGUGAAGGUACACCGGUGUGUUCAAGCAUUACACCACAUAAUAAUGUACCAUACCAAGAAAAAAUGUAUGAGAUGAAUUUGUGGUUAUUGUAACCCCUGUUGAUCAACUGUGUACGAAAUGUAUUUCACUUUUGACUCAUAUGGACAAGAUGGACAAUGAACUGAAACUUCUUAAAAAUAAAAUGUUGUCAUAUACACAAAAUAAAUAUGGAACAUUGCCCCCUGAUCAGGUUGUUAAUGGUGUUGAGAUUCUCAAUAGACACUUAAAGGAACAAGGGGAAAAAAAAGAGAAACAACUAGAAACUCCAUUAAAAUUAUUAAAAACACAACAGCAGGAACAACAACAACAACCACCAACACAACAAGAAAUUAAAAAUACAAAUUCCACAUGCACACUCAUAUGAACAAAACGCAGAUUGAAAUACCUAUUCUUAAUCAAGCAGGGGCUAAAUCAUUGUGUCCAGUAAGAAAAAAAAAAUGAUGCGCUUUUACUAUAUAGAUUUAGUAU